Molecule: ribosomal RNA, 462 nt
Filed under: uncultured bacterium
Lineage: Bacteria
Description: partial 16S ribosomal RNA
Rfam family: Bacterial small subunit ribosomal RNA
Source: RNAcentral
GACGAACGCUGGCGGCGUGCUUAACACAUGCAAGUCGAACGGUGAAGCCCUUCGGGGUGGAUCAGUGGCGAACGGGUGAGUAACACGUGAGCAACCUGCCCCUGGCUCUGGGACAACCACUGGAAACGGUGGCUAAUGCCGGAUACGACCCGCCUCGGCAUCGAGUGUGGGUGGAAAGUUUUUCGGCUGGGGAUGGGCUCGCGGCCUAUCAGCUUGUUGGUGAGGUGAAGGCUCACCAAGGCGACGACGGGUAGCCGGCCUGAGAGGGCGACCGGCCACACUGGGACUGAGACACGGCCCAGACUCCUACGGGAGGCAGCAGUGGGGAAUAUUGCACAAUGGGCGAAAGCCUGAUGCAGCGACGCCGCGUGAGGGAUGACGGCCUUCGGGUUGUAAACCUCUUUCAGCUCCGAAGAAGCGAAAGUGACGGUAGGAGCAGAAGAAGCACCGGCUAACUACGUG